RNAcentral lists this ribosomal RNA (461 nucleotides) under uncultured bacterium. RNAcentral describes it as "SSU rRNA". It matches the Rfam family "Bacterial small subunit ribosomal RNA", at positions 26 to 518 of the family's 1533-position model. The record is from RNAcentral.
AGAGCGAACGCUGGCGGCAGGCCUAAUACAUGCAAGUCGAACGGACCCUUCGGGGUUAGUGGCGGACGGGUGAGUAACACGUGGGAACGUGCCCUUUGGUUCGGAACAACUCAGGGAAACUUGAGCUAAUACCGAAUGUGCCCCCAUCCUUAAACAAGAUGGGUGGGAAAGAUUUAUCGCCAUUGGAGCGGCCCGCGUCUGAUUAGCUAGUCGGUGAGGUAAAGGCUCACCAAGGCGACGAUCAGUAGCUGGUCUGAGAGGAUGAUCAGCCACACUGGGACUGAGACACGGCCCAGACUCCUACGGGAGGCAGCAGUAGGGAAUCUUGCGCAAUGGGCGAAAGCCUGACGCAGCCAUGCCGCGUGAAUGAUGAAGGUCUUAGGAUUGUAAAAUUCUUUCAGCGGGGACGAUAAUGACGGUACCCGCAGAAGAGCCCCGGCUAACUUCGUGCCAGCAGCCGC